GGACUACAGGGGUAUCUAAUCCUGUUUGCUACCCACGCUUUCGUGCCUCAGUGUCAGUGUCUGUCCAGAAAGCCGCCUUCGCCACUGGUGUUCCUUCCGAUAUCUACGCAUUUCACCGCUACACCGGAAAUUCCACUUUCCUCUACAACACUCUAGCAACACAGUCUCAAGCGCAAUUCCCAAGUUAAGCUCGGGGAUUUCACACCUGACUUAUGUCACCACCUACGCACCCUUUACGCCCAGUAAUUCCGAUUAACGCUCGCACCCUCUGUAUUACCGCGGCUGCUGGCAC
Molecule: ribosomal RNA, 292 nt
Filed under: uncultured bacterium
Lineage: Bacteria
Description: partial 16S ribosomal RNA
Source: RNAcentral